RNAcentral lists this long non-coding RNA (1212 nucleotides) under Aotus nancymaae (Ma's night monkey). RNAcentral's name for it is "lncRNA (ENSANAG00000038713.1)". Lineage: Eukaryota; Metazoa; Chordata; Mammalia; Primates; Aotidae. The record is from RNAcentral.
ACUUAGAUAUGUAUAAUUCCCAAGCUUUCUUCAUCACAGCACACCGUCUUCUGGGCGUCUGGUACCUUCAUCCAGCCCUAGUUGCCAUAUGGAACAUGCUCUCCUCCUGUUAACUGAUCAAUCAGAUGACAAAAGAAUGAGUGAAGGAAUUUCCACCACAAACCCAAAGACAUCUUGGUAUAUCCAAAGGACGGGAGAGAGAAAUAAAAAUUUCACUGUGAUUUUUAAGUAAUGUUUUAUUCUAUUAUGCUUUGCAGCUAACAAUCGAAGCACUUUUGUGUAAUAUCUCAUCUGGCCAUUGUAAGGAUCAAGUGAGGGAGAGGAGAGGGCAGAUGUUAUGAAGCUCAUUUUACAGUGGAAGAAACUGAGGCCCAGAACGCAUCAAGAGGCACACAGCAAUAUGACUGGAGUCGGAAAGAGGCAUCGGAAUGAUUCAAAACUCUGGUUCUGCCCUAGAGUGACUUCAAGCUGAAGACAUUCUAACUCAGAGGGCCUCAGCUGCAGAACCAACUGGACUCCAGUUGCAGACCAGUGAGGAUGAUGAGGACCUGGGAGGACCGCAUUUUCUGGGAGAAGCCCUGGAAUACAAGAUUUAAUAUACUUAAAGGGAGCUCACAUUCUCAUCAACCUGGAGCAACACACCUGGGAAUGUCUGAGUUGGCCUCAAAGUCUCAGCCAAAUCCAGACCUAUCUAAGGAAUGUGGAAGCUGAAACCAACUUCACCUGGAUCUUUGCCUCGUGGCUCAACUGGGCGAUUCUUCUGCUUCAAGUCGUGUCAACUGGGAGACGUGGACACAAAAAAAUACUUGAAACUUUAUAUAAUAAAAGGUAAUGCAAAAUGAUAGAGUCACUUUUAUUUCCUUUUAUUAAGGGAACAGAUUUAUUUUUGCUUCCAUUUAAGAUAUGGAGUUCAUUUCUUCUCUUGAAUAUUACAAACAAGAUAGAACUUUUGGUCCCAUGAAAUUCACUAAUGUAAUUACUUGAAAAAACGAUGCAUUUUAGAAAUAUCGAUUGGUGACACACUUAAACAACUUCCAUGGAAAACUGCCUUACUUCAAGUCUUUCUCAGAGCCUAUGGACAAAUAAUGAAAACAAGUUUGGGACCGUAUGUGGUGGCUCACGUCUGUAAUCCCAGCACUUUGGGAGGGCGAUGCAGGCGGAUCACCUGCGGUCAGGAGUUUGAGACCAGCCUGGUCAAUAUGAUGAAACCCC